AGAUCCUCAAAGGCUUCAAGGGGUAUGGGUCAGCGAUCGGUUCCUCACUAUCUUCCUCAUCUGGAGAAGAGCAUGGAAAAGGAUGAGUUUUAUAUACUCAGUAAGGAAAAUAGUAUUUAGAUAACAUCAUAAGGUUUUAAAAGUGAUCAAUUAUGUCAUCAAUACUUACCAUCAAGAGUCAUGUCAGGGUCUUUUCUUAAAUUAUAAAAAUAAUUUAUUUAUUAAAGAAAACAUCAAAUCCAUCAUGCCAUAGUUAUAUUAAUCAAAUCAAGAAGUCGUUCCAACUUUCAUCUACUGAAGGCAGUACAGAUUUUCGGCUAUCCAUGUGGAACGACCAGUUCAUUUAUAAUAGCAAUUUGCGGCUUGUCGAACCAACAAUACAUUUAUAGCUUGUCAAACCAUGAAACAAUCUAUGAACACGGUCGUGCCAACCACAGUGAUCCUACAUGUUAACUAUGGCCACAAUUGUACAUCACCAACAGUGACCCCUAAAAUCACAUCAUGUCACCGCUCUCGUCAAAGGGUACACUGUCAUCCACAGGGAGCGGUCCAUUCACACCUUUUCAUACCAGAUAGGGGAGAAACAGAAACUCCUCAACGAUAAAAAACCUAAUAAAACACUAUAUGAAUUAUGCAUAUCAAUACUGAUAUAUGUUUCUCAUGUCUAUAUACCAUUUCAUGAUUAAUCACUUUUCCACCGUUAAUUGCAUCACAUAUCAAUAUCAAUUUCAAGAACUAAAUCAUUUAAAUCACAUGCAAUUUAACAAAUUCAUAGAUGAUCAUGAAACAUGCAUUAUCACAUAAAAUAUACUUCGUUUAGACUUAAAAUUUAAUCAUGCAAUCAUAAAUUCAAACUUCAAUAGUUUUAUUCUAGAAAUUAUCGUUAGGAUAUUUAAAAAUAAAUACUAAAUCCUUUAUCAAAACCUUAAAUUUUUCUACAUCUUUUCUUCUUCUUCUCCUCUCCCUCUCUCUAGAUCACUCCCUUUCUCUCUAAGCUCUAGAAGGAUGGAAGAAUGAAAUGGAAAUAAUGAGGAAAAUGUGAAGGAAGGGUCCCUAUUUAUAGAAAAUGGGGACCGUUAGAUUUGCACCAAAUGAAAAAAUCUGGUGAGGAGAGAGAAAGUCAAUGGGAAAAAAAGUGAUGUGACAACUAACAGAUGUGAUCGACGGACGGAUGACAAGAUGUGAUGACAAUGCAAAAAAUAGAGACACGCCACCAAAUCGACGGCAACACAUCGCCAAAGCGACGAUAGCACACCGCCUAAACUGAUGGCGGAUUGCUGCCCAACCGGCAGCACACACUGCCCAAGCAAGCACACGAUGCCCAAGGGGGCGGCGCUAAUUGCCUGAGGUCAUUGCACGCUACCCUAAGCCAGCCUAGCCGGCUGCGUGCGGGACCUACAACACGUAGGGCGUUGCGCGUAAGCCUACUGUUCGGACGGCGCACGCACAGAGCGCAUGGAGCUGCGACCGUCUGUGCGCAAUGGUACAUGCACACAGACUAGGCUUUAUGCGACGUGUGGUGCUUGCACUGGUGGGAUCUUUCCCACGGCCACUCCCACUAGAUUUUUCCACUUUUUUUCUAUUUUUUUCUUGAAAUUUAUUUUAAUAACAAAUAAAAUAUAAUUUUUCUAUGAUAAAAUAAAAAAAUAAAUUUUAAUAAUUAUUUAAUUAAAUAAAAUAUGAAAUACGGUAUUUAUCCAAAAAUUAAAAUUACAAAAUAUUUUAAGGAGUUUAAGGGGACUUAGGGCCCAAAUAAAUACGGGUUCACAUUACAAAUUAAGUGCAAAGGUUUUCAAGGUGUUUCAUGAGGUACUCUGCCUUUGACUCCAUAAAGGUUUUCUAGUCACACUACUAGGCGGUUACUUUUCUUUUGAAUGUAAGAAUGCAACAACAUUCCAAUUGCCUUAUGGUGUGCAAUUGAGAUAUGUUUUGGAUUUUUAAUUUUGUGAUUUUUUUAAUAUGCUUAACAAAACAACUUGAGUUUGACAGAUAGUUAUGAAUUUAAGUGAGAUGCAAUAUGAAUUAAUAAUUCAAAAUAAAUUUGAAUCUUAAUUAAUUCAUAAAAUGCUAGAGUAAUUAAGAUAAAUAGGUUUACUAGGAGCCUAAGCUCUGAUAUCACCUGACGCGAGAGGGUAUGGGAAGGAUUGUUUUGACUCUGGGAACCUCAACUCAAAUGUAUGCAAUGUCGAAACUUAAUCACCUAAUUAAACCUCUCCCUCUAAUUGAAUAUACAAUUCCUAAAGGGAGUGCAAAAACAAAAACUAAGGAAUAAAAACAAGGAAAAGAAAGACACCAUAGACUUACCCAAUAAAUCGAUCCCAACUCCUCAGCUCAAUCAAAACUUUGGAAAGCUCUUUUUACUUCGAAAAACUUGAAGAGAAAAAAUUAGCACAAAGCUAAUUAAAGAAAAAUUCAAAGCUUUAAUUUAAUAAUUCUCAAAUUGUUGUUUUUACAAUGCUUGAGAUGAUGCCUUUAUAUCGGCUUUUAAUUUCUACUUCUAGUUGAAAUGGGAUUUAGGAUUCCUAUCCAAACUCUAAGAAUUAAAUUAACUAGGAAACAAUUACUUAAAUAAAUAAAUAAUUAAAUUCUUAUCCUUAUCCUAAAAUAAUAAUUAAUUAAUCAUGUAGAUAAAGUUUAACAUUAAAAUAUUAAUAAACUAAUAAACUCCUCCUCUAAAAUCUUCAAGGAUCUUUAUUUUUUUUGUUCUUCAAUUUUGAGUAGAAUUCCUCCUAUAAUUUUGCAUAUUUUGUAUAUGGAAUAAUUGUAGAAAUGUCCUUGUAGAAUUAAAAAAAGUGAGAAAAAAGAGUUCAAAAAGGACUAGAAACAAAGAGCCACAAGAAUGGGCUGUUGGAUGCGCGGGUCAGACCACAGGUUACGUAGGUGGGCCAAGUGGGCCGUGUGGGCUUACAGGGCAAGCUUGGUCUGCAGGAUGCCUUGCAUACGCAUGCCCAUGGGUUGUGCGUUCGGUCAUCCUCUUAUGUGCUAGUGCGUGAGCUAUGGCGCAACCUUGUGUUAUUGCUCACACAUCCUUCGUGUAGGACCGUGCGGGCUGGGUGCUCGCACAUGCGGGGGCCAUGUGUCACACAUGGGGAGGCCUACACACGUGUAGGCUAUGAGUAUCCAUACCCACACCACCUGUUGGGCUUCUCUUUGGAUCAAGAUAUAUGGACUGAGUCUUUGUUUGGCUGUAAGACCUAAUAACUUCCUAUUUUUCCAUCUUUUCUAAUUCUGCCUGCUCUUAGACAGGGAUACAAGUGUAAUUAAUUCAUAUUUGCUAUCCUGAGUUUGCAUCUGGGUGGUGAUAACAUGGUCACUAUAUUUUCAGGAACACUUUUGAACAUGUCCAUGAAGCUCAUUAUUGUUUAGCCUUUUAUAUCCUUUAAUGGUCCCAUAAACCUCCUAUUUAUUACUACUCUUUUCCUCGGUUCUUAUCACAUCGCUAGCACUGACACCGGAUUUGUCGAACAUCCUUGAUGUGUUUCACAUGUCAAUGUCACACUAGUAUCAUCCUAAUUCGUCCCGCGUAUUGCAGCAUGAACGCCUUCCACUUGAGAAAAACUUGUUCUAUAAAGAGUUGCCUAUAAGCAUAUUGAAUUGCAAAGAAAAGUGGUGAGAACAAAAGUAAUUCCCCUAGUUAAAAUUUUAUAGCAACACCACUCACAGAGAGCAGCAUGGGAACACAACGACUAGAUGCGAGUUAAAUAUCUUUAUUUUUUUGAAAUUUGUAACAAUUUGGGGAACAAAUUUUAAAGGAGGGGAGUAAUUGUAAUAGCCCACAUAAUUUUUUUUAAAAUUUAAUGUAUGUAUUAUAAGCACCAAAAAUAAUUUUAUGAGCAUGGUGUACACAAAAAAUAAAGACAUAAGCCCUAAGAAAUUAAAAAAUAAAGAAAGAUAUAAAUAAAAUGGCAAUAAUAAUAAUAAGCAGUAAUAAAAUUUGGACUAAAAUAAAAAGAAAAUGGAAAAGGGAAAGUAUUAAAAAAAUAGAAUUCGGGCCAAACCGAAAGAAAAAUAGAAAGGAAGGGAAAAUCUAAAAAUAGAAAAAAUGGGACACCUCAGCAUGUGAGGUGUCUAGGAACAAACCUAGCUUAGGCAUUUGACCAGCCAUGCAAGGUGGCAAAGACGAAAUGGAAAUGAAUGGUUGCGAUCAACCACGAAAGAUCAUAAGGGGAUCGAAUGACCCAAAAACGCUCAAUCUCAAACAAAAAUGUGGAGAAAUAAAUGAUCACGAUUGCAGAAAAGAAAAUUUGGAUGGUCAGCAUUUAAAGAUGUGUGUAAAAGGAUACAUUUACACUUAAUGAGAUGCAUCCAAUAACCCACGUUCCCUGUAUGUGAUUGGACUGCUUAAUCACGUCUAGGAUCUCGUAUAUAAAUCCUUCCUCUUCAUUUUUGUUAAGUAGAAAACAUCCAAGUCAAAAAGAGAAGUAGCAUGCAAUGAGAGAGACUCGAAAGACUUUGCAAACAGAGGAAGAAAAAGUGAGGUGAAGAGAUGGGGAAUCCUAAAACCAGGGGGGGCAAUGUAGUCAAAGGGAAGAAGGGAGACAAGGUCUAAACCGAGGAGUGCCUUUGAGUUGCCAUAACAACCUGUGACCAAAGAGUCGUACACACAAGUAAAUCCCUACCCUUCCCCCACCGACCUCAUUCAUUCUUUUACACCUAUUGACAUAUGUAUGUGCAAUGUUCUCAUGAGAGAGAGAGAGAGAGAAUAACUCGUAAACAACUAUGAAACAGAAGAAAUAGAGCUAAUACUAAAACACAAACGAUAUAGGUAGGCAUACUUCAAUCGAGAUUUUGAGCAGAUAUUUCAAGAAAUUCCUAAGUAGUUUAACGAAAUAAAACGCAUGGUACAAUAAAGGGAAUAUGGAAGAGCAUGUAGGAAAUGAGAAAUAGAAAAGAAUUGAAAUGAAUCAAUCAGGAACAUUUUUAGAAAAGUCAGGUCCCAAUAGUAACAAAAAAUGCAGAGUUUCGAUACACGUCAAAAGACCUAUUUGUGGGAAGGAUUUUGGUGAUCAUUAAUCACCAGCAAGUGACGAAAUCUAACUAUAACUAAGGUAACAAUAUAGGAGUGUUGGUGAUCAUUAAUCACCAACAAGUGAGUUCCAUAUGCGCAGGACAGCUUGCGCGCACGUAAACCUCAUCUUGUACAAGCAUCAGCAUGGUAGACUUGGACUGCGUGCAGUGCCUCUAGCCACGUGUUGCUAUCACCACAACCUCGCGUCACUACCUAUGCUGCCUUGGGAGCUGUGCCUCUUCCUUGGCCAGCUGACACUGAUGAUGUCAUCAUUUUCUCUCUCAUCUCAGAUUCGCAAUACUUGUUGCAAAUCCAACAGUUCUAUUUCUUUAUAAAUAAAGACCUCCUCUACCACUCUUCCUCACCCAUUUUCACCCCCAAAGACAAAAAUUCUAGAGAUAGAAAGUUAGAGAGAGAAAUAAGGAAAAAGAGAAAAAAAAAGGACUAGCUUACAAAGACUCAUCAGUAUUUGGUAAGGAAUUCAAUAUUUCCUUGCACAUUUUAAGAGCCAUUUUUUUUAGAAAAAUCUUGAAAUGAAUGUUCAUUUUAUCGCAUAAUAGUGACAUGAUUUUGAGGGUGUGAGGAGUUAUUAAUUAAUAAUGUUAUUUUAAUUAUACAUGCAUCGUGUAAAGGUGUAGUUUGUUAUUUCAUGAAUGAAGUUGAACUGCAAUUGAUACGAGAAGAGAUUAUAUGAAAUUGUUGACAUGACAUGAAAAAUAUGAAUGGAUACAUGAAAUAUGAAUUAAUCUGUUAGACUAUUUUAUCGACUUAUAUUGUCCCCACCCUGUCUGAAAAGAUGUGAGAUGACCACUCCCUAUGGAUGAUGGCGGGAAAGUGUGUAGGAGAUCUUAGGACCAUUGCACCGAAGUACGAUCAUGUUCAUAGUCUUUAGGACUACAAUGGUUGGCAUGACCAUGGUCAUAGAUAGUGCUAUAGUGUGACAAAUCAGUCAUGGUGUAGCAAGCUAUCAGUUACCAAUAGUGUCACCACAGUGGUAGUUUGGAUUUCAUACUAGUGAGUAGAUAAAAAGUCGUAACGGACUUCGCGCGAAGAAUACUAAAAGACUUAAUACCAGUAAUUAUUUUGAUUUGUUUGAUUUUCUAUCUUGAUGAGUUAUCUGUAUUAUUAUAUUGUUUUGAUGAUCAUAAUAUUUUUAAUUAAAUAUUUUCUUACAUUAGUCCUACUCUUACGGAUCGUUGUAAAUGGUAAGCAGCAAAAAGUUAUUUUCUUAAACGCCUUUAACAUUUCUUAGUUAUGCCAAUUUAAUAUUGUAUGCCUUAUUGAGUUUCAUAUAACUCACCCCUUCUAUGCUGGCCCGUCCUCCCCAGACGACGUUGAAGAGGAUGUUUAUGAUGAGUUGUCCGUUGAGUUACCCCUUGAAGCUUACCUGGAUCCCGUGGAUCUAUGAUCAUUGACGAGUGCGUGUCUUGUUCCGUACUCUGAUGAGUUCAUUUACAUAGUGAAAGAAGUGACCUUCUUUUAUAUUUUGUAUUUUGUAUUUUGUAUUUUGUAUUUUAUAUUUUGUAUUUUGUUACCACUUCUGCCUUCAAUUGUAUAUAUAAUUGGGAACUCAUAUUUUAUAAGGAAUUUUGUAUUUUAAAAAUUUUUGCCGCAUAUAUUUUAUUUAAUACAAUCAUAUUCUGUGUUGAUAUCUGGCAUUCAUAUGUUAUAAUCUGUAUUGGGGAUGUCACAAGUAGUAUCAAAGCAGAAUCUAUGGAAAAAUUGCUUACAUUAAGGCCAAUCUAGAGUUAGGAAAAAUCUUAGCGUAUAGGAAACUUCUUUCUAGAAAACUUAUUUAGAAACUUCCUUGAAAUCCCUACUUAUUGUCUCCCGUUUAAUUUUGAAGGAAAUGAUAUGGGGGAGACCAUUAGUAGAAAGAACCGAGGCCCAAGACAAACUGACUAAGAUCGAAUUUAACGAGUUGUUGCGAGCCAUUCAAGGCUUGACAGCAGCUGCUGUGCAUAGUCAGACCAAUAAUUGUCAGCCUCCAGCACCUCCUGAGUGUCAUCCCAUUGACCAUCCUAUCUCCCAACACAUCACAAAGUUCAAAAGGUUGAACCAUCUUCACUUCAACAACGGUCCCAAUCCCAUGGUUGUUACAGCCUAGACCCAGGAAAUUUAGAAGCUCUUCAUAGUAAUGGAUGUGACAGAAGAGCAUUAAGGUUUCUUUGGCUAUUUUCAUGUUUACUGGAGAAGCGGCUCACUAGUGGUGAGUGAAGAAGGAUUUACUGCUGACUCCCACCACCUGGGAAAUAUUUAUGGAGGACGUCUAUGAAAACUUCUUCCCAGCUUAUGUACGGGAUAAAAAGAAAGAGGAGUUUAUAGAACUCCAACAAGAAAAUCUGAUGGUUAGCCAGUAUGCAGCUAAGUUUAUCUAGUUGUCAAGGUUUCCUCCACUGUUGGUAUCCACUGAAGCUUGGAAGGCCCGAAAGUUCUUGAAAGGUCUUCACCCAGAUAUUUUUGAUCGAGUUGCCAUGUCCAAGCCCAGUUCCUAUGGUGAGGUACUAGAGAAUGCCCAGUUUUUCGAAGACCUUAUCUCAACCCGCAACCAGCACAUCACCUAGUUCCGCAGUCAGCAGCAACAGUAACAAAAGAAAAAAUUUCCUGAAUUUGGUGCUGAUAUCUCAUACAAGAGACCAUGUGUUGUCCCAGCCCCUAGUGCUUUAGCCCGCCUACCAGAGACCCUAUUCAGAAUUCUCCCCCUUACCGAUAUUGUGGCUGCUACUAUGGUGACCAUCCUACCGACGCCUGAACCACUCUUAUUAUAAGUACGGGAGUACACAACAUUUGGUAAAGGAUUGCCCACAGAGGCCCAAGGAUCUCGUCAGACCUAUUGCCUAGGGACGUGUUUACCACCUGGAUGAGCCCGAUGUUCCCACCGCACCCGUUAUCAUUUAGGGUAUGCUUUCUGUUCAUAAUACUACUACACGUGCUUUGAUUGAUAUAGGUGUUUUUCACUCCUUUCUUAUCUUGUAAUUUUGUUUGUAAAUUAUACCUUAGGCUGGAACCUCUAGGAAAGAUUUUAGUUGUAGAGACACCCUCUAGGGGACUAUUAGAAACCUUUUAUGUAUAUAAAAAUUGUAAAGUAAAUGCCUCAGGAAAGAACUCACUACAGAUCUGAUACUAUUAGACUUUUCAGGGUUUGAUAUAAUCCUAGGUAUCGACUAGUUAAAAAAAUAUAAAGUAAUUAUUGAUUCCGAGACAAAAAUUGUAAAACUACAUUCACCUAGGCAGCAAAUUUGUCUUGUUUUAUAUAAAUUAUGUAAAAAUAAAUAAAGAGUAUUUUCUUUCAAAAACUUUUCGUUGCUUUGCUCACCUUGUGUUAGACAGGAACAUGGAUUACGACCCAACAAUUUCUUCAGUACCUGUUAUAUGUAAUUUUCUGGAUAUAUUUCCAGAAGAGCUACCAGAUCUACCUCCCGAAUGGGAGAUAGAGUUUUUGAUUAACCUGAUUCCAGGUACCCAGCCAAUUAUGAAACCCCCUUAUCACAUUAGCCAUGUAGAACUUACAGAAUUGGAACAUUAGCUUUCUAGACUACAGGGACUGAGGUUCAUCUGCUGUAGUCAUUUCUAUUGGGGUGCGACUAUCUUAUUCACCAAGAAGAAGGACAGAUCCCUCCGUAUGUGCAUUGACUUCCGUGAAUUUAAUCAAGUGACCAAAAAGAGUAAGUACCCUCUACCCUACGUAGAUGAUUUAUUUAAUCAGUUGCAGAAUGCUUCUAUGUUUUUGAAGAUUGAUCUCUGAUCUAACUACCAUCAAUUGGAGUGAAGGAAGAGAACAUUUCUAAGACGGCCUUUCGCUACAAGUAUGGCUAAUUUGAGUUUAAAGUUAUGCCCUUUGAACUUACCAAUGCACCCACAGCCUUUAUGGACUUAAUGAAUAAAGUUUUUUUCCAUGCACUGGAUCAUUAUGUCAUCAUCUUCAUCAAUGACAUCCUAGUGUACUCAAAGAGCCCGGAAGAGCAUGUUGAUCACCUGACCCGUAUCAUGAUCACCCUUCGUGAACACCAUAUCUACAUCAAGUUUAAUAAGUGUUCUUUUUAGUUAAACCAAGUAUCUUUUCUUGGCCAUGAGAUUUUCAGUGCUGGAGUUUUCGUCAAUCCCUCUAAAGUCGAGGCACUUGUGACUUGGAACCAGCAGACCAAUGUCACCGAGAUUCGUAGUUUCUUGGGUCUAGCCAACUAUUAUUGGUGUUUUAUCGAAGGCUUUUUUAAAAUUUUAACCCCUUUGACUCGUCUCACCAAGAAUGGAGUAGUCUUCCAUUGUGAUGAGAAAUGUGAAGAAUCUUUUAUGGAAUUUAAGCUUCCACUCUACACUGCUCUAGUGUUGAUCCUCCUCGACAAUACAGGGAGGUUUUAGGUAUUCUGUGAUACCUCUCAUGUUGGUUUAGAUUGUGUUCUUAUGCAGCAUGGACGGGUAGUCGCAUAUGGUUCCAGACAACUCAAAAUCCACAAGUACAACUACCCCACUCAUGAUCUUGAGUUAAUGGCCAUUGUGCAUGCUUUGAAGAUUUGACGUCAUUACCUCUAUGGCCAAACCUUCGAGAUCUACACCAACCAUAAGAGCCUAAAGUAUCUGCUCUUGGAAAGAGAAUUAAACAUGAGGCAAAUGCACUGAAUUGAUUUGUUGAAAGAUUAUGACUGCAAGAUUCUUUAUCACCUUGGUAAAGGUCAUGUAGUCAUUGAUGCUUGAGUUGGAAGGAAACCAGCCAUGUUAACCUAGAUGAUGAUAUCCGUUAGAAGUUAAUAGGCUUAAUGCAAUCUCUCCAUCUAAAUUACUAUGGUAAUCUUGAGUAUGCCAUAAGUUGCCAAUAAUAUCACCACAAUGGUAGUUGGGAGUCUAUAUUAACUAAUAGAUAAAAAGUCAUAAAGGACUUCACGCGAAGUAUGGUAAAAGGCUUAAUAACAGUGAUUAUUCUGAUUUAUUUGAUUUUCUAUCUUAGUGAGUUAUCUGUAUUAUUAUGUUGUUUUGAUGAUCAUGAUAUUUUUAAUUAAAUAUUUUUUUACAUCGAUCGUACUCAUAUUAUUAUGUUGUUUUGAUGAUCAUGAUAUUUUUAAUUAAAUAUUUUCUUACAUUGAUCGUACUCAUAUAAUCGUUGUAAAUGGUAAGCAGCAAAAGGGUAUUUUCUUAAACACCUUUAAGAUUUCUUAGUUAUGUCAAUUUAAUAAUGUAUGUCUUAUUGAGUUUCACAUAACUCACCCCUUCUAUGCUAACCCAGCCCCCCCCCCCCCCCCCCUAGAUAAUCUUGAAGAGAAUGUUUGCGAUGAGUUGUUUGCCGACUUACCCCUUGAAGCUUGCCUGGAUCCUAUGGAUCCAUGAUCGUUGACGAGUGCAUAUCUUGUUCCACACUCUGAUGAGUUCGUUUAUAUGGUAAAAGAAGUGGCCUUCUUUUAUAUUUUAUAUUUUGUAUUUUGUUGCCACUUCUGGCCUCAGUUGUAUAUGUAAUUGGGAACUCAUAUAUUUUGUAAGGGAUUUCGUAUAGUAAAAAUUCUUCCUGCGUAUAUUCUAUUUAAUGCACUCGUAUUUUGUAUUGGUAUCUGGCACCCUUAUAUUGUAAUCAAUAUUGGGGAUGUCAUGGGUCAUUUAAUCAUUCGGAAAACCCUUGUCUUUAUUAAGAAAUUCGGUGAAACAAUUAUACUAAGAACACCAUUACCGAUGUGAAUAAUCAACCCAUUCCUAGGCCAUUAUCAUUUUACCAUCUAUACUAUGACCACGGUCGUAUUUUGCCACUGUGGCCCUACAUGUACUUAACACAUAUCCACUCUCCCCAAAAAGAAUGCCAAUCGUCACAGAGAGUGGUUCACCAACACUUUUUUGGAGGGGGAGAAACAGAGACCCCUAAGAGAUCACAGUCGAACAGACAUUUUUUUUACUUGUUUACUUUAUACUCACGACAAUUUCAUAUCCUAUUCAUAUGCAUACUACAUGUUAAAUGCAACCAUUUCUGAACCCUCCGGGAUUCUAUAACUUAUCUAGAUCGAAGGCCCUUUUUUCAUAUCUCUAUCUCAAAGGCUCAUUUCUCUUGUCCGACAUGAAGGCUCGUUUACCUAGUCUUGACCUUCAGGUCAUCCCCUUGGAGUUUAGACUCAUUAGGAUAACCAUCUUCGCCAUUACCAAGGUAAAGUGAAGGGCCAAGAUCUGUAUGUAAAUUUCAAAUCAUCAUAUCUUUAUGCAUCAUGUGAAAUGUGUUAUGGAUUAAACAAUGUCAAACAUCAAGUGAACUCAUGCACCAAUCAUGUUCAUUAAUGCCAUAUACAUAAAUAAGCAGCUAUUCUAGUAGGAAUUUAUGCAUCAUAAUCGCAUGGUAUAAUGAUCAUACAUUAUGCUGCAAAUAAUCAUAAUAUAUCGAGUUUCAUUUUCGGAACUCGGUGGGGCUCAUUGACAUUUUGGGUCAUAGGCCUAUAUGCUCAGGUUUGACCAUUCGAGUUGUUCCUUGAAGGUGGAGCUCCUUAUAAUAACCUUCUUUGUCAUUACCAAGGGUAAGAUAAAGGGUUAAGCCUAAAUGUAUCCUCAAUUGCCAUCUUAUCAACAAUAAAAUAUCAUGCAUCUAAAUAAAUCACCGAACAAUCAUGAAUUAAAAUAAACUACCAAAGCAAGCAUGAAAGUCCAUUUCCCAAGCCGUCAUUUAAAAUUUUUUUAUCGUGACUAAUUAUCAAAAUAACGCACCAAACAAGCAUAAAAGCCCAUCUCAAUAAAUACCCGAUUUCAUCAAAUUAAUUAACUAAAAAGAGCACUUAAAAAUGUAGAUAAAAAUACUAAAGAAUCUCUUACCAUAACCGAAGCCAACUAAGUCUCUAGGGAUGGAAGAAGGGACCUUUAGAGACCCCUGAAGAGCUUGUAAGUUCCCAACUUUUUCAUCUUCUUCUAGCUUCUUUUCCUCUUCAAAUACUCUCUUUCUCUUUCAAAGUAUUUCUCUCAAAAAAGCAGAGGAUGGAAGGGAAAAAUGAAGUGCUAAGAAGAGUUAAAAAUGGAAGGGAAAAGGGAGUGUGAAAGGAUGUGGGAAAC
Molecule: long non-coding RNA, 12013 nt
Filed under: Carica papaya (papaya)
Lineage: Eukaryota; Viridiplantae; Streptophyta; Magnoliopsida; Brassicales; Caricaceae
Description: long non-coding RNA (CPAP_LNC007939)
Source: RNAcentral